UUACACAUUGCAAGUCGAGCGGCAGCGCGGGGCAACUGGCGGCGAGCGGCGAACGGGUGAGUAAUGCAUCGGAACAUGUCCAUUCGUGGGGGAUAGCCCGGCGAAAGCCGGAUUAAUACCGCAUACGCCCUGAGGGGGAAAGCGGGGGACCUCGCAAGAGGCCUCGCGCGAAUGGGUUGGCCGAUGUCCGAUUAGCUAGUUGGUGGGGUAAAGGCUUACCAAGGCGAUGAUCGGUAGCUGGUCUGAGAGGAUGAUCAGCCACACUGGGACUGAGACACGGCCCAGACUCCUACGGGAGGCAGCAGUGGGGAAUAUUGGACAAUGGGCGCAAGCCUGAUCCAGCGACGCCGCGUGAGUGAUGAAGGCCUUCGGGUUGUAAAGCUCUGUUGAGGGGAAAGAAAACGGCUGGCGUGAAUAACUCCAGUCCUUGACGGUACCCCUUUAGAAAGCACCGGCUAACUCUGUGGCCAGCAGCCGCGGUAAGACAGAGGGUGCAAACGUUGCUCGGAAUUACUGGGCGUAAAGCGCGUGUAGGCGGACCCGCAAGUCGGACGUGAAAGCCCUGGGGCUCAACCCAGGAACUGCAUCCGAAACUGCGGGU
Molecule: ribosomal RNA, 601 nt
Filed under: uncultured bacterium
Lineage: Bacteria
Description: bacterial SSU rRNA
Rfam family: Bacterial small subunit ribosomal RNA
Source: RNAcentral